CGAAAAACUUUUACGAAUUCAAAAACCAGAGCCUUUAAGAAAUGUUGGUGUAAAUGAUUCACAUCAUAUGAAAGGUACAUUUUGUUCGCAUAUUCACUUAAUUAACACAGAAAAUCGAAUACAAUUAAAAAUCUUUUCGAGAUUUACAAUUCUAUCAGAAUUUUGCGAUUGCGUAAGGUGUAGCCGUAUAACAGAAAAGUGCCGCUAGCUCAUGUUUUCCCCAGUGCGGAGUUUCCAACGCGCCACACAGCUCGCAACAUAAAAAUCGAUAAUUAUCGACGAUAAUUUGCACAUUUGCACUCACCCAACCUGGAAUGCCAGGAGGAUAGCAGGUUUGCUUGACUAUAUAAUCAUGAGAGAUCACCACUGAAGGUUAUGGUUGAAGGAUUUGAUGACUGCACAGAAAGCGGACGUAUGUAAAGACGUGUCGGGUCUCCUAAACCAGGGAAUAACACGGAACGUGUAGGGUCACCUAAACCUAAGGAGCUCUUAUGUCUAAGACAUAAGACGGGACGAGCAAACAAUACGUGAGCAUGUGUUGUAUUUGGCUGUCAGACUAACUAAGGAUUCGCGACACAAAUUUAGCGACAGCGGCACAACAACGACAAUUCGGGCUCGCAAUUCUGACUCCGCAUUGACAAACAAUGAUUAUUUGUCAGGACUAGCAGUAGUUGCUGACGGUUGUUAGAAGCAACAACGACGGUCGAAGCCUUAUGGAAUGGCCAGGAAUUCGCCGGGGGGGCAACACACAAAUCUUUAUAAUGUUAUUUGACUUUUAAUUAUUAGUUUAACAUAAUUUUAAACAUAAUAUUAGAAAAGCACACAAGUACCAUCUGUUUGUACAUAUCCUUUGGAUGCGCACCGAAGAAGACUUACUGUUUUAGUUAUAAAGUAAGAUUGAGUGAAUACUGAGUGGUUUCUAUUUUACCAAAUAGUCGGUUUAGAAUUGGUCGGCUUGUCCACUUUGACGAUCCAGGUUCAUGGGCAGCAACCGCUGGCAUUGUUCAUCAACGUCAUCAUGUCAAGGAAACCGUUCCGGAUC
This 1042-nucleotide small RNA is filed under the name Drosophila yakuba. Its description in RNAcentral is "GE28723". The record is from RNAcentral. Lineage: Eukaryota; Metazoa; Arthropoda; Insecta; Diptera; Drosophilidae.